RNAcentral lists this ribosomal RNA (501 nucleotides) under uncultured soil bacterium. RNAcentral's name for it is "bacterial SSU rRNA". It matches the Rfam family "Bacterial small subunit ribosomal RNA", at positions 34 to 540 of the family's 1533-position model. The record is from RNAcentral.
AGGACGAACGCUGGCGGCGUGCUUAACACAUGCAAGUCGAGCGGUAAGGCCUUUCGGGGUACACGAGCGGCGAACGGGUGAGUAACACGUGGGUGAUCUGCCCUGCACUCUGGGAUAAGCCUGGGAAACUGGGUCUAAUACCGGAUAUGACCUGCUCUCGCAUGGGGGGUGGGUGGAAAGAUUUAUCGGUGCAGGAUGGGCCCGCGGCCUAUCAGCUUGUUGGGUGGGUAAUCGGCCUACCAAGGCGACGACGGGUAGCCGACCUGAGAGGGUGACCGGCCACACUGGGACUGAGACACGGCCCAGACUCCUACGGGAGGCAGCAGGUGGGAAUAUUGCACAAUGGGACGAAAGCUGAUGCAGCGACGCCGCGGUGGGGAGUGACGGUCGUUCGGAUUACGUUAAACCCCUUUCGAAGGUAGGGACGAAGCGACGAAGUGACGGUAACCUGACGAAGAAAGAAGACGAACCCGGACGUAACUACGUCGCCAGCGAGCCGAC